RNAcentral lists this ribosomal RNA (305 nucleotides) under uncultured bacterium. Its description in RNAcentral is "bacterial SSU rRNA". It matches the Rfam family "Bacterial small subunit ribosomal RNA", at positions 333 to 635 of the family's 1533-position model. The record is from RNAcentral.
UCAUACCUAUGGGACGCAGCAGUGAGGAAUAUUGGUCAAUGGACGCAAGUCUGAACCAGCCAUGCCGCGUGCAGGAUGACGGCUCUAUGAGUUGUAAACUGCUUUUGUACGAGGGUAAACCCCGAUACGUGUACCGGGUUGAAAGUAUCGUACGAAUAAGGAUCGGCUAACUCCGUGCCAGCAGCCGCGGUAAUACGGAGGAUCCGAGCGUUAUCCGGAUUUAUUGGGUUUAAAGGGUGCGUAGGCGGUUUGAUAAGUUAGAGGUGAAAUGUCGGGGCUCAACCCCGAAACUGCCUCUAAUACUU